Molecule: ribosomal RNA, 270 nt
Filed under: uncultured bacterium
Lineage: Bacteria
Description: partial small subunit ribosomal RNA
Rfam family: Bacterial small subunit ribosomal RNA
Source: RNAcentral
AGAAUCAACGCUGGCGGCGUGCCUAACACAUGCAAGUCGAACGCGAAUCUGGGAAACUAGGUUUGAGUGGCGUCCGGGUGAGUAACACGUGGAUAAUCUGCCUGAGGGUGGGGAAUAACUUUCCGAAAGGGAAGCUAAUACCGCAUAACAUUAUUUCGAGGAAUCUUGGAGUAAUCAAAGUGAGGGACCGCAAGGCCACACGCCAACAGAGGAGUCUGCGGCUGAUUAGCUAGUUGGUGAGGUAAAGGCUCACCAAGGCGACGAUCAGUA